AAGGGUGUAGCUCAGUGAUAGAGCACUUGCGUAGCAUGCACAAGGCUUGGGCUCAAUUCCCAACAUUUAAA
Molecule: transfer RNA, 71 nt
Filed under: Marmota monax (woodchuck)
Lineage: Eukaryota; Metazoa; Chordata; Mammalia; Rodentia; Sciuridae
Description: tRNA.Ala
Rfam family: tRNA
About the family: Transfer RNA (tRNA) molecules are approximately 80 nucleotides in length.
Source: RNAcentral